RNAcentral lists this ribosomal RNA (228 nucleotides) under Carnobacterium divergens. Its description in RNAcentral is "partial 16S ribosomal RNA". It matches the Rfam family "Bacterial small subunit ribosomal RNA", at positions 1 to 219 of the family's 1533-position model. The record is from RNAcentral. Lineage: Bacteria; Bacillati; Bacillota; Bacilli; Lactobacillales; Carnobacteriaceae.
UUAUAUGAGAGUUUGAUCCUGGCUCAGGACGAACGCUGGCGGCAUGCCUAAUACAUGCAAGUCGAACGCACGAAGUUGAAAAGCUUGCUUUUCGACCAAGUGAGUGGCGGACGGGUGAGUAACACGUGGGUAACCUGCCCAUAAGAGGGGGAUAACAUUCGGAAACGGAUGCUAAUACCGCAUAUUUCAAGUGACCGCAUGGUCGCUUGAUGAAAGGUGGCUUCGGCU